GCCAUGUCAGCGUGUUGGCUCUCUCCUGCGUUUUCAUGCUCACCUCCUUCUCUUCUGUCAUUGGCAUUGGUUCAGUGGUCAGUUCCCCCUACAUUCAUCUCUUAAUACUCAUUUUACCGUUUCACUACUUUUUUUUGUUUAUAAUUUGAAUUUGUUAAAGAAUAUCAAAUAAAUAUAAUCCAUAGAACCCUCCCUAUAUUUCAACACCAAUCAGUUCGGAUUAUAUUUAUUUGAUAUUCUUUGACAAAUUCAAAUUAUAAACGAAAAGAAAAGGAGAAAAAUCCGAUUGGUGAAACCGUAAAAAGAGUGUUAAGAGAUGAAUGUAAAGGGAACUGACCACUAAAUCAAUGCCAGUGACAGAAGAAAAGGAAGUGGUCUUGAAAACGCAGAGCCAACACACUGACAUGGCCCGCAAACAUUGUGGAGAUAAGUUCAAUGACGAAAUUAAGAAAAUUUACCAUAAUUAAAGGUCCUGCCAGACAUAUUUGCUUUCUCAUUUUUUUAAUCACUAAACUUAACUUAUUUUGCCCGGAUAUGUGAGGCUUUAACAGAGACACGGGUAUUAUUCUCUAAUUUAUAUGUUUUUCAAUCUCAAAUAACAGAGUUUACGAAGAGUUCUGUGUUGCAACACAAUAAGUUAGGUUUAUAUUUAUGGUUUAAUUAUUCUGCAGGUCCCUAUAAUUUCACCAAAUUUUCAAUUAGGUCUUUAUAUUUUUUUUUUAACUUUUCGAUUGGAUCCCUGUACAUUAAAUUUUUUUCAAUUAAGUCUCUGCCGUGAGAAUAACAUUUAAGGUAACAAAAUAUUCUCUUUAAAAAACUAAUAUUCUUAUGAAUAGGUUAGAAUAGCUAGUUGAACAUACAUCUAUUUUUUAGAAUUUGGAUCCUCUAAAUUUUAAAUUUGUACUUUAGAGGGUAAAGUGUGAUCUUCUACCCUUGAAUGGUUUCUCUCUCAUAUUUAUUCUUGGUUCCACCUAUAAAAUAAAUGGUGAGAGAUCACACUUAAAUCUCUAAAGUGAAAUUCAAACUUUAGAGAAUCCAAAUCCUGUGCACUGCGUUUCUCCUCCAUUGGUCCAUCUUCUUCAUCCAUAGCCGCCGUCGUCCAUGGCGGAGGCUUGGUAGUCAUCCGUCCAUCGCAUCCUUCUCUCUGCGCUGCUCUGUUCUGUGUUGCUUUGUUCUAUGGUCUUCUGUGCUGUUUGCCCGUCGAAGCCCUCGCCGUGCCUCGCCUCACGUCACCUCGCUGCGACGCGCCGCGAUCUGCCUGUACUCGAUUUGUCAAAACAGGGUUGCUUCUGUUGAUAGUGAAGAUGCUUUUGAUUCAGCUUCUGAAGUAAAUGUACAUGGAUGGACUAUCAACACUAAGUACUAUACUGCUGAUGUUUCUGUGUCAUCUUGGUGAUGAUUUUUCUGUCCGGAACCUGCCCGUGUUUGUGAUGGUUUUUGACACGAAUAAUCCAUCUUCUCUAACUGCUAUCUAAGAUUGUGUAUCUGGCUUGAUAUUCAAAACUUUGAUAUGAUCAUGUAUGAUUGCAUAUAUUUGCUUUUAUAUGCAAUAAAUUGUUGGGACACCUGAUGAACUCAAGUAUGCUCUCUCAGAAUUCUUCUCGGCUCGAAAUCGGCCGUUAUCAAUGUUAUUAUUGAUCUCUAUACUGGUUCAGAGAGUGGGAGGCUGCAACACAAGAACUGAUUUUCAGAUUUUAAAUUCAAUAAUACAAAUUACAUAGUCUUGUAGUUUUCUAUGGUGUAUCAUGAUAUAAUAAAGACACAAAUUAUAUUCCAUAAAUCUACACAAAUGUAAAAUGUUACAUGAUCACAAUUGUAAACUUAUUACUACUAUUUCUAUUUCA
Arachis ipaensis is the source of this 1844-nucleotide long non-coding RNA. RefSeq lists it as uncharacterized. The record is from RefSeq and is a predicted model, not a curated record. Lineage: Eukaryota; Viridiplantae; Streptophyta; Magnoliopsida; Fabales; Fabaceae.